UACGUAGGGGGCAAGCGUUGUCCGGAAUCAUUGGGCGUAAAGCGCGUGUAGGCGGCCAGGUAAGUCCCUUCUGAAAGCCCGGGGCUCAACCCCGGGAGGCGGAUGGAUACUGCUUGGCUCGAGUCCGGAAGAGGCGAGUGGAAUUCCCGGUGUAGCGGUGAAAUGCGCAGAUAUCGGGAGGAACACCAAUGGCGAAGGCAGCUCGCUGGGACGGUACUGACGCUGAGACGCGAAAGCGUGGGGAGCAAACAGG
This 253-nucleotide ribosomal RNA is filed under the name uncultured bacterium. RNAcentral describes it as "partial 16S ribosomal RNA". It matches the Rfam family "Bacterial small subunit ribosomal RNA", at positions 524 to 776 of the family's 1533-position model. The record is from RNAcentral.